AUGAAAAUGAUAUUCACCUUGGUGUUUACUUGAUUCUGUUCUUUACCUUCUCUAUAGGAAUUCUGAUUCAAGUAUGUAUUUUUUUUAAGAUUUUUUUUUUUUUUAUUUGACAGACAGUGAUCACAACAAGUAGGCAGAGAGGCAGGCAGAGAGAGAGGAGGAAGAAGACUCCCUGGUGAGCAGAGAGCCCGAUGCGGGCUCGAUCCCAGGACCCUGGGAUCAUGACAAGAACCGAAGGCAGAGGCUUUGACCCACUGAGCUACCCAGGCGCCCCUCAACUCCAACCUUGUACACAGAGAGAGGCAACUGAUAGGAAAACCAAGAGGAGGAUUCUGAUCUCUUCCGGUACUGGCUCCUCCCAAGAUGCUGCUGAAACUGAGCCUUCCCAGAGGGACCUGUGGUUGGGCGUGGCUGCUCCAGAGGGGAGAACUCAUCAUCCCCCACACUUGUGCAGAUAGCUUAUGGGGAUGCCGGCAGCCGUACUGACUCCUUCCUGGGGCUACAACCACCACUGACUCAAGCUUGUACAUAAAACUCUUCCUUGUAAAUUUACAUUUGAAAACAUUUCCAAAAUGCU
RNAcentral lists this long non-coding RNA (577 nucleotides) under Mustela putorius furo (domestic ferret). RNAcentral's name for it is "lncRNA (ENSMPUG00000031051.1)". The record is from RNAcentral. Lineage: Eukaryota; Metazoa; Chordata; Mammalia; Carnivora; Mustelidae.